Molecule: RNA transcript, 4002 nt
Organism: Nematostella vectensis (starlet sea anemone)
Lineage: Eukaryota; Metazoa; Cnidaria; Anthozoa; Actiniaria; Edwardsiidae
Exons: 3
Source: RefSeq, a predicted model, not a curated record
CCGUGGGUACGGGCCUGAAUUCCAUCGCAGCUCUUUUACCAGAUGACUUGUUGAUAUUUUUUCGUUAAAUGACGAAGCUUUUGCAAGGCUUUAGUUUGCUGCGCCCUCCAUGCUCACAAACGCGCAGAACUCCAGCCCUGACUUGGAAGUAAUAUUUCAAAGCCGACAAUGAGGACUGGACGGGAUUUCAAGUCCGCGCGAUUAGUUCCAGUUCGAAGCGCAGCCGAGAAGUUCUCAUUCUUAUUAAUUAUUUAGCAGGACGCCAGCCAACCAAAUUACGUAAAUUUGAAUUUCCCUCCUCCAUCCUUUGAUUUUCAUUUCUAUGCGCUUUGUCUAACUGUCCAUCUAAAGUCAAGAACAUGUCACGUUCUUCGUUUGUCUUAAUUUCCCUGGAGGCUUCCAUUGGGAAUAAAAGCCAAGUUUAUGCUAUUUUCUAGAAAGUCCAUGUUUUAAAGCUGUCAAAAAGCAAUGGAUUCCAGCGAAGACGAAAUCGUGCGGCCGCUUGAAAGGUUCAGAAAAGCCAAAAGUAAAGAUGAGGAAGAAGUAGCUUUGGCGCAAGCUGUACCCGCGUCGACAAGAUACAAGAAUAAGUGGUGUGUCAACAUGUUUGAAAACUGUCGUACUAACCGAGUGAACAAAAUAGCCGCAAAGGAGUCCACAAUCUUCAAUAUAAGAAUAUCCGAUCUUGAAAACCUCGACAGCGCAUGGGAAUCUAUGUCGGCUCCUUGCCUCGAUUUCUGGAUCGGAAAAUUCUUCAAAGAAGUUGCAGAUAAACAGGGUAUUAAUUUAUUUUUCUUCAUUUUGUACCACUUUGUGUUGCUCGGGUAAAGUACUUGAAUCAGCGAUUUGGGUUAUGGUAGCGCUCUAAAACAGCACCGUUUUUACAUGACAUUUGGAAACACAGAACAUUAAAGCGAAGUUAAGUUGCAAUCCUAAUUGGAAAUUAAUUUAUUUUCAUUUUUCAGGUAAUCGUUACCCCGCUCGAAAUUUAUAUAUGAUCUUGGCUGGUCGUAAGCGCCACCUUUUGAGAGCACUUUUCACCGAACAGAUGUUAAUAUACUGGACAAGUCAAACGUGCCAUAAGUGUAUAUUUGUAUUUUACGUGAUAAUUUACCUUCAACCGUCCCAUGCUUACAUUUUAUUAUAAAGUGCUGGUUGUGACUAGUGAAUUAAGUCCGAGGACUGGAACAAAAUUAUUUCAGUUCAGGGACUGUUGUCCCUGAACUAAAUUAAUUUUGUUCCAGUCCUAGUACUUCACCCCCAGCUCUUCCCUGUUAAAUUCAAUACCCUCCCCGUCUUUAAGACACUGGAAUAACCAGAUUUUAAGUAUCAUCAUGUGACCAAAUUUAAGUAAUUUUGUUGGCUGGCGUCCUGCUGAAUAAUUUAAAUAAGGAUGAGAAAAGUCUGUCCAAUCUCUGAAAUCCAUGACCCCACUAGCGCACCACGUGAUACUCCAACAGCUUUCCAUGCAUGAGGAGGUCCGAUCAGACGCUAGCUCUGGGGUCAAGCAGGUCCGCCACAAUCAAAACGGCACAAAGAACUAUUCCCAGAGUCACAAGGGCAAGUUCAGUGUGUUGUCCAUCCAUGACCACUCGAAUAGCGACCGGGCGGUGGGACUUCGGGAAUUCGUGGCCGUGUUAAACGUGGAGGAGUUCUGUACGCGAUAUAACGACUACCGUCUGUAAUGCCGCACCGCACCAGCAAAAGGAUUACCACGUCGUGGAGGAUAUUUCCUUUUCCUGGUGUCCUACCCGAGGUGAGUAGGAGUCUAUAGUCGGGGAUAAGACCAGGGGCGGAUCUUGCUUCUGGUCCCAAAAUUUUCGUCAUUAUUUUACCUUCGUAAUGAUUUCGGAAUGAAAAGAUACAAUAAAAAACAAUAAAAAAAGACACCCCAAGGAGGAGGGGUUAAACCCCCUAACCCCCCCUUCCCCCCAUGUAGAUCCGCUACUGAAGACUAAUAGAGAAAAUCCGAAGAAAAUAGAAAAAAAGGAGGGCGGAUAUGAUAAAAGGCGCAACCUAACAAUCGUUAUUUCUUGCAUUUUUCAGGUCCUACUAGAGAAACUGACGGAUGAGCCCUGGCCCGCCCAGAAUAUCUUGCGCGCAACGCUAACCACCUGAUGCGGCAUCAGAGUAUGCGGUCAGAAGAUCCCGUAGAUCUAGAGUUCGAAUUUAGGGAUGACGUGAUGUAGGAUCCGUCCUUCUUCGUGGGAGACGUGGAAGGCCGGACGGAGACGACAUCUCAUCUUCGCGAGCAAAGAAUAGCUUGAUACGCUAGCCGAUGCCAAGACCUGGUACGUGGACGGCACAUUUAAGCUGGCGAGGGAGCCGUUUAAAGCAGCUACUCACCAUCAACGCCUUUGUAAGAAGGGGGAAUGCGUAAAGAAAGUUCCUUUGUGUUUGCGGUGAUGUCUGGAAGCAAAAAGAAGGACUGUAGAAAGGUGUUUAAAAGCAUCCUCCAUCUACUUCCGCACGUCUGUAUAGAGAAAGUCGUGACAGACUUCGAGCGCGCAAUCUGGCCGGCGGCAAGGUUAGAAUUCAGCCGCUACGAUGUGACGAUAAAGGGGGUGUGCCUUCCACUGGACGCGAGCUGUCUGGCUAAAGAUCCUUUAGAUGUCUUUAGAUUUUCAGGUCCGUCCGACCUUAUUGGUUAUUUUGCCGGGAAUUGGGUGUAUAGCACCUCCCCCCCCCCCCGAGGCCUGGAGCGUAUACGGCGAAGCCAUCAGAACGAACAACGAUGUAGAGGGAUGGCACGAAGCGCUCAACCGCCAGCACCUGCCCCUCUACCAGCUUGUUCAGCUCCUCUACCAGGAGUCGAAACUGGUUCACCUGCAGAUGCUCCUGGUGGCAGACCGCAAACUGCAGCGCAUCCGAAGAAAGCGCUACAGAAACACACAGGCCAUCAUCUUCAAAGGCUGGAAAGACUACGCGGCUGGUAGUGUGCAUGACCUUCUGCGUACCUGCGCUAGGGUCAAUCAGCCCGUCCGCGACCAGUGAAGUCAAGAUAAAGGCUGUACUGAGCAAAUACAAAAACGGCUCUUUUUAACUAGGUCAGAAACGAAAACUUUAUUUUGCUAAAACAUAAGUCUAGAGGUUAAGUAGCAAGCCUGAAUAAAAAAAGGCGCUUCAUUUUUGUUGGUUUUUGGAUUUUUUUUAAAGUUCCGCCGAAAGAAAAUGUCUCGCGGACUGGGGCCGAAUUUGGACCGUUGGAGGCCUGUGGCGACUUCACAACCAUGGUACGGCGCGAAAUUUUAGUGUUAAAUCGUAUUAUAAGGAGAUCCGAAAUCAAAGCACCAGAACUCAGUCGAAUAAUGGCGUCGUCGAUCGAAAGUACCAGGCCAGGAGGCUUAGAGCUCACAGACCCCAGUGACAAUAAAAGUUAAAGUUAAACAGAGUUAAACAGAAGAAAACAACAAGGAGUUUGAGAUUGUUUUUGAGGAAGGUGGAUGCGAGUUUCCGCCAUAUCACUAUCAGAGCGCAUAGCGAACCGAUCGUCGAAGGCUCAUCUGGUGAAAAGGAGACACAGCCAAAGCUUUUUAUAAUACUAUAAAACACUGUGAAAAUACACAAAUGUGAGUUCAGUCUUCUAUGGUGUACUCCAGCCGUAAGGAAGUUGAUUCUGAACUUGUAAAAGGCGAAAGCAUUAAAAAAAAAAAAAACCUUGACAUUACAGAACUACGAUUUACGAAUGGGAUUGGAAGUGUUGUUUUCAACGCUGAAUGGGAAACUGAAAGAGAUGACUCAACUUUAGAGGUACUUUUCGAUGAAGUAGCAUAGGUUGAUAAAUAUGGACUCGUAUGAAUCUAGCAUGGAGAAGUGGGAUUGAGGUAAAUAAAAAUGUUUUUUACUUAUCGCUAGGUAGUUUUCUAUCGUUUUUUUCGCCGUAGAGAUUGUCAAAACAAUUCGUACAUUCGAAUUUGCCUGUUCUGUUCCCUGUGUUUCCUAUUUUAUUUUGAAUCAAAUCAGAUUAAAGCUUGGCAUAAUAAAUAUAAUAGGCAAAUCCUG